RNAcentral lists this ribosomal RNA (460 nucleotides) under uncultured bacterium. RNAcentral's name for it is "partial 16S ribosomal RNA". It matches the Rfam family "Bacterial small subunit ribosomal RNA", at positions 338 to 795 of the family's 1533-position model. The record is from RNAcentral.
CCUACGGGUGGCAGCAGUGAGGAAUAUUGGUCAAUGGGCGCGAGCCUGAACCAGCCAAGUCGCGUGAAGGAUGACUGCCCUACGGGUUGUAAACUUCUUUUAUAAAGGAAUAAAGUGAGGCACGUGUGCCUUUUUGUAUGUACUUUAUGAAUAAGGCUCGGCUAACUCUGUGCCAGCAGCCGCGGUAAUACGGAGGAACUGAGCGUUAACCGGAUUUAUUGGGUUUAAAGGGAGCGUAGAUGGGUUGGUAAGUCAGUUGUGAAAGUUUGCGGCUUAACCGUAAAAUUGCAAUUGAUACUGGCAGUCUUGAGUACAGUUGAGGUAGGCGGAAUUCGUGGUGUAGCGGUGAAAUGCUUAGAUAUCACGAAGAACUCCGAUUGCGAAGGCAGCUUACUAAACUGCAACUGACAUUGAGGCUCGAAAGUGUGGGUAGCAAACAGGAUUAGAUACCCGAGUAGUC